Pangasianodon gigas (Mekong giant catfish) is the source of this 72-nucleotide non-coding RNA. NCBI's taxonomy places the organism in Eukaryota, Metazoa, Chordata, Actinopteri, Siluriformes, Pangasiidae. The record is from the annotation of a GenBank genome assembly.
UCCCUGGAAGACUAGUGGUCAGGCCUUGGCGCUCUCACUGCUGUGGCCUGGGUUCGAUUCCCGGCCAGGGAA